This 2898-nucleotide ribosomal RNA is filed under the name Escherichia coli. Its description in RNAcentral is "23S ribosomal RNA". It matches the Rfam family "Bacterial large subunit ribosomal RNA". Lineage: Bacteria; Pseudomonadati; Pseudomonadota; Gammaproteobacteria; Enterobacterales; Enterobacteriaceae. The record is from RNAcentral.
GGUUAAGCGACUAAGCGUACACGGUGGAUGCCCCGGCAGUCAGAGGCGAUGAAGGACGUGCUAAUCUGCGAUAAGCGUCGGUGAGGUGAUAUGAACCGUUAUAACCGGCGAUUUCCGAAUGGGGAAACCCAGUGUGUUUCGACACACUAUCAUUAACUGAAUCCAUAGGUUAAUGAGGCGAACCGGGGAACUGAAACAUCUAAGUACCCCGAGGAAAAGAAAUCAACCGAGAUUCCCCAGUAGCGGCGAGCGAACGGGGAGGAGCCCAGAGCCUGAAUCAGUGUGUGUGUUAGUGGAAGCGUCUGGAAAGGCGCGCGAUACAGGGUGACAGCCCCGUACACAAAAAUGCACAUGCUGUGAGCUCGAUGAGUAGGGCGGGACACGUGGUAUCCUGUCUGAAUAUGGGGGACCAUCCUCCAAGGCUAAAUACUCCUGACUGACCGAUAGUGAACCAGUACCGUGAGGGAAAGGCGAAAAGAACCCCGGCGAGGGGAGUGAAAAAGAACCUGAAACCGUGUACGUACAAGCAGUGGGAGCCUCUUAAUGGGGUGACUGCGUACCUUUUGUAUAAUGGGUCAGCGACUUAUAUUCUGUAGCAAGGUUAACCGAAUAGGGGAGCCGAAGGGAAACCGAGUCUUAACUGGGCGUUAAGUUGCAGGGUAUAGACCCGAAACCCGGUGAUCUAGCCAUGGGCAGGUUGAAGGUUGGGUAACACUAACUGGAGGACCGAACCGACUAAUGUUGAAAAAUUAGCGGAUGACUUGUGGCUGGGGGUGAAAGGCCAAUCAAACCGGGAGAUAGCUGGUUCUCCCCGAAAGCUAUUUAGGUAGCGCCUCGUGAAUUCAUCUCCGGGGGUAGAGCACUGUUUCGGCAAGGGGUCAUCCCGACUUACCAACCCGAUGCAAACUGCGAAUACCGGAGAAUGUUAUCACGGGAGACACACGGCGGGUGCUAACGUCCGUCGUGAAGAGGGAAACAACCCAGACCGCCAGCUAAGGUCCCAAAGUCAUGGUUAAGUGGGAAACGAUGUGGGAAGGCCCAGACAGCCGGGAUGUUGGCUUAGAAGCAGCCAUCAUUUAAAGAAAGCGUAAUAGCUCACUGGUCGAGUCGGCCUGCGCGGAAGAUGUAACGGGGCUAAACCAUGCACCGAAGCUGCGGCAGCGACACUAUGUGUUGUUGGGUAGGGGAGCGUUCUGUAAGCCUGUGAAGGUGUGCUGUGAGGCAUGCUGGAGGUAUCAGAAGUGCGAAUGCUGACAUAAGUAACGAUAAAGCGGGUGAAAAGCCCGCUCGCCGGAAGACCAAGGGUUCCUGUCCAACGUUAAUCGGGGCAGGGUGAGUCGACCCCUAAGGCGAGGCCGAAAGGCGUAGUCGAUGGGAAACAGGUUAAUAUUCCUGUACUUGGUGUUACUGCGAAGGGGGACGGAGAAGGCUAUGUUGGCCGGGCGACGGUUGUCCCGGUUUAAGCGUGUAGGCUGGUUUUCCGGGCAAAUCCGGAAAACCAAGGCUGAGGCGUGAUGACGAGGCACUACGGUGCUGAAGCGACAAAUGCCCUGCUUCCGGGAAAAGCCUCUAAGCAUCAGGUAACAUCAAAUCGUACCCCAAACCGACACAGGUGGUCAGGUAGAGAAUACCAAGGCGCUUGAGAGAACUCGGGUGAAGGAACUAGGCAAAAUGGUGCCGUAACUUCGGGAGAAGGCACGCUGAUAUGUAGGUGAAGCGACUUGCUCGUGGAGCUGAAAUCAGUCGAAGAUACCAGCUGGCUGCAACUGUUUAUUAAAAACACAGCACUGUGCAAACACGAAAGUGGACGUAUACGGUGUGACGCCUGCCCGGUGCCGGAAGGUUAAUUGAUGGGGUUAGCGGUAACGCGAAGCUCUUGAUCGAAGCCCCGGUAAACGGCGGCCGUAACUAUAACGGUCCUAAGGUAGCGAAAUUCCUUGUCGGGUAAGUUCCGACCUGCACGAAUGGCGUAAUGAUGGCCGGGCUGUCUCCACCCGAGACUCAGUGAAAUUGAACUCGCUGUGAAGAUGCAGUGUACCCGCGGCAAGACGGAAAGACCCCGUGAACCUUUACUAUAGCUUGACACUGAACAUUGAGCCUUGAUGUGUAGGAUAGGUGGGAGGCUUUGAAGUGUGGACGCCAGUCUGCAUGGAGCCGACCUUGAAAUACCACCCUUUAAUGUUUGAUGUUCUAACGUUGGCCCGUAAUCCGGGUUGCGGACAGUGUCUGGUGGGUAGUUUGACUGGGGCGGUCUCCUCCUAAAGAGUAACGGAGGAGCACGAAGGUUGGCUAAUCCUGGUCGGACAUCAGGAGGUUAGUGCAAUGGCAUAAGCCAGCUUGACUGCGAGCGUGACGGCGCGAGCAGGUGCGAAAGCAGGUCAUAGUGAUCCGGUGGUUCUGAAUGGAAGGGCCAUCGCUCAACGGAUAAAAGGUACUCCGGGGAUAACAGGCUGAUACCGCCCAAGAGUUCAUAUCGACGGCGGUGUUUGGCACCUCGAUGUCGGCUCAUCACAUCCCGGGGCUGAAGUAGGUCCCAAGGGUAUGGCUGUUCGCCAUUUAAAGUGGUACGCGAGCUGGGUUUAGAACGUCGUGAGACAGUUCGGUCCCUAUCUGCCGUGGGCGCUGGAGAACUGAGGGGGCUGCUCCUAGUACGAGAGGACCGGAGUGGACGCAUCACUGGUGUUCGGGUUGUCAUGCCAAUGGCACUGCCCGGUAGCUAAAUGCGGAAGAGAUAAGUGCUGAAAGCAUCUAAGCACGAAACUUGCCCCGAGAUGAGUUCUCCCUGAGACUUAGAGUCUCCUGAAGGAACGUUGAAGACGACGACGUUGAUAGGCCGGGUGUGUAAGCGCAGCGAUGCGUUGAGCUAACCGGUACUAAUGAACCGUGAGGCUUAACCUU